Molecule: long non-coding RNA, 1706 nt
Filed under: Neogobius melanostomus (round goby)
Lineage: Eukaryota; Metazoa; Chordata; Actinopteri; Gobiiformes; Gobiidae
Description: lncRNA (ENSNMLG00000010112.1)
Source: RNAcentral
GCUAAACCUAUGUUGACGCUUAUACCUAUGAGCGCAGAAGAAGACACCCGACGAUCCAUGGAAACCGAACACACAACCAAGAGUGCCAGACUGUACCCAAAUGUGCGCUCUACAGGACUAACAGAAUCGUGAUGUUGUCGCUUGCUUGUAAUGCUUGUUAGCUGUUAGCCGCAGUUAGCUCAUGGUGCAGAGCGGACAGAGAGGGGAUGUUGAAGCAGGGCGGCAGAAGCUCGGCUCUGGAGCGGGCCGAAGCGGCGCUCUCUUCCCGCAGAGGCAGAGGGACAUCGGCCGCUGCACACUCCUCCACACCACGGGUGAUCUCGUCCCCGGAGUUGUCCGCCGAGCUCCUGUCCUCACACAGCGGGUCGUUCCUCCCACCUCCGACUGCUCAUGCGCCAAAGCCCAAGAACGACCCAGAUCCGGAGGUGGGUCGACCUUUGAGUUCUCUGAACACUGGAACGAACAGGUUCUUAAAGAAACCUGCAGCUACAGCAGCCCAGAAUCAGCCCAAGGAAAGAGCGGUGUCCUCCUCACUGCGAGCCUCUCAGCCUGCUGCUCUCAGUAGACUGGCUCAAGUUGAAGAGCGCUUUGGAAAGGGUGUGCAGAAGAGGAGUCCUUCCAGAGUCGGAAAGCCGGCUGUCCAGGAUGCCCCCGAAGAGCACGCGGUGUUAGCCCAGCCCAGGCGCUUUGUAAAGAGCGGGCCUCGGGGUGCACUCAGAGGGGAUGGACUACUGGGACGGUCCGAUUCAUCAGAGCGCAGUGCACAGGAGGAGGAGAAGCUCCACUCUGCAGCUCUCCUCUCUACAGUGUCGUCUUCACCUGUACAGGCCCAGACACCCCCUGACCUCUCCCCCUCUCCCCCCAGCCGCCUGUCGUCCUCUGCCGGCUCCGCUCGUGUUGUCGUGCGCUCUCUGGAGGAGCUAUUUUCUUUGGAUGAAGCCUCAGAGGACACUUCCAGAGAUUUUCAAAUCCAUCUAGGGGACAUAAAUGAGCUGGAGCUGGCUUCUCUACAGCUGGAGGAAGACGCAGGUGAAAAGGAAGUGCAGGUGGAUAUUCUGGAAGAGGAGCCGGAGGAGGAGAAAGAGGACUACCCGAGUGAUUUUGAGAGUGUUAUUCAGACGGAGAGCCUCUUGGAGCCCUCCCAGGACAGUGCCCAGGUGCCUCUCUCAGUGCACACCCAGGACAGUGCCAGGCUGCCCUCUCCUCCCAGCUCAGUGCACACCCAGGACAGUGCCCGGCUGCCCUCUCCUCCCAGCUCAGUGCACACCCAGGACAGUGCCCGGCUGCUCUCUGCUCCUCGUACAGAGGACAGUACCUGGACGCCCUCUCCUCCCCGCUCGGAGCGCAGUUACUCCAAAACCUCCACCAGUGCCACAUCUGAGGCCCGCUCUCCUGAAGGCCCUCUCAGCGACACCCCUCCACCUCGCGCCCGAAUCCCCUCCACAAAGAGCAAACGUGGACGGACCUCUCAUCAGCCUGCUCACUGCGUCUACAGUCCCUCCCUGCAGCUCCUGAUGGAGAGCCUCAGGCAGCAGCUGGCCCUGACCUCUCAGUUCAUCAGCAGCUCUCGUGAGCACCACGCCCGUGUCCUCCAGAACCUGGGGCCCCCCAACUACACAUACACCACCCUGCAGGACACUCAGGAGAACAUCUGGAAGCUAAGAGCGUCCGGGCCACGUUCAAAGCAGCUGACAGGGAAAAGAUGA